CUUUGGGAGGCUGAGGCAGGCAGAUCACCUAAGGCCAGGAAUUCGACACCAGCCUGGCCAACGUGGCAAAACCCGUCUCUACUAAAAAUACAAAAAUUAGCCGGGCGUGGUGGUGUGCGCCUGGAAUCCCAGCUACCCAGGAGGCUGAGGCAGGAGAAAUGCUGGAACCCGGGAGGCAGAGGCUGCAGUGAGCUGAGAUCAUGCCACUACUGCACUCCAGCCUGGGUGACACAGCAAGACUCCCUCUAAAAAAAGAAAAAAAGAAAAGAAAAGAAAAGAAAAUGAUAUAUCCAUGAUGAAUUAAAAUGGAGUGGAACCCACUGAUGGUAUGCAGCUGAUAAGACGCUAUAGAGAAAUGAUAUCCGGACACAUGGUGAGACUUUUUCUCCUCUGUAAAUCUCAAUUCUUGUGAUUCUUUCAAAGGGAAAGCCACAGAAGGUACCAGUUAUCCACUCACUGACUUAGGUGCCUCCACUAGAAUUCUCAGCACGUUUUUGCAGAAGUAAGUUAUCUUCACUAUUGCUCUAACACUUCUUAGUCUCCUUUUUCUUUCUUUUCUUUUUUUUUAGACAAAGGAAAAGUAAACCGCUGGUUUAGAGUCUUUGGAAGGCAAUUGUAUCUGACUAGAAUUUAAUAUUAUUGUUUUUCUUUCAUUGUAUUGCAUUUAUCUGUAUGGCUAGUUAAACUGAUUUUCCAUUUAAAAGUAGUAAUGCAUUUUUUUAUAAUUACAUUGUUUUAAGUAAACAAGAAUUAUUCAAAGGACAAAAACACUAGCACAGAUGGCAUUCAAUGAUUGCAGAUAUCAUAAAGAUAGUUCAUGAAUGACAAAGAUUUGAGAAGUACUGUGUUCACGAUGCUUCCUGGAAGAGGUGGGUUAUACAGUGUUUCUUAGAGAAAGGGAUAGGGGUCUACUGCUAGGAGGGAAAGAUGAAGCUACUUAGGGGGACUAGGAAACACGCAGUUGGCCUGCCCUCUGCUUGGAGAUCACAGCCAAGGAAACACAGGAGAGGCACCCCCUGGAGGAGCUCCGUGGGCUGCAGGGCUGACGUGGCCCAGCCUGGGCAACAAGAGCGAAACCCCAUCUCAAAACCACAACAACAACAACAGGACAACAGAGAUGGACGACGGAUCGGGAAAGCCAACCAGACAGCGUGAGGCCAGGACGGAAAGAGGCACAGGGAGCUCUGCUCAGUGUCGCUACAGGGGAUCUCUCAGGCUCACAACGGGCCACUCCUCUAGGGAAGUUCUGGUCUCAUCAUGAUCCUUGUUUGGUCUCACUCCCCAUGUCCUUCUCUGUCCCUCCUCCAACUGCCAUUUAUUUAUUUAACUGAAAAAGUACCAAUCACCCACAUAGGCAUGACAUACUCAUCCAUGUACCCAUUUCUUAAAAUUGAUCAUUGUUAACAUUUGGUGUAAUUUGCUUUAUUUAUUUUUAAUGAAAUAAAUAAAACUUUACAGAAAAUGCUUUAUUUUUCUCUUUGUUCCCUCCCCAUCCUAUAUUUUUCUCCUAAAAAACCCUAUUAUCAGAAAUAUUAGUGUGUAUUCCCAGUUUCGACUUUUUAUUUUAUUACACACACACUCCCACACAUAGCUGUGACAAUGAACUUCACAUAGUAUGGUUCUGUAUUUUCUCUUUGUUUUUCAAACUUACAUAAGUAUUUUACUAUUUCUCAUGGAAAAACUCACUUUUCCCAUCCAACGUUAUGUUUCCUUAAGAUCUCUCUAUGUUGAUAUAAAGAAAUCUAGCUCAUUCUUUUUAAUGAAAAUAAAGUAUAUUUUAUGAAUGUAACUCAUGCUAACCAUGGCAAUAAAAGCUCCAUCAAGCAUGCAUUU
This 1833-nucleotide long non-coding RNA is filed under the name Homo sapiens (human). Its description in RNAcentral is "non-protein coding DSCAM-AS1:6". Lineage: Eukaryota; Metazoa; Chordata; Mammalia; Primates; Hominidae. The record is from RNAcentral.